AUCCUUUUGUAGUUCAUAAGCGUGAUGACUGUGUCUUCACGGGCAUGCGUGAAAAGAUAUGCUUCUCACAAAUCUUGUUACGACAUCAGCACAUUACCCAUCUGACA
Small nucleolar RNA from Otolemur garnettii (small-eared galago), 107 nucleotides. The record is from Ensembl. NCBI's taxonomy places the organism in Eukaryota, Metazoa, Chordata, Mammalia, Primates, Galagidae.